Non-coding RNA from Rattus norvegicus (Norway rat), 1142 nucleotides. The record is from RefSeq and is a predicted model, not a curated record. NCBI's taxonomy places the organism in Eukaryota, Metazoa, Chordata, Mammalia, Rodentia, Muridae.
GCUGUCAUUAGGUACUGUAUGGCCCAUUCGUGUGGACGCUGCGGAAGGUGAACUAGGGAACCAUUUCAGCAUGUAGAACACCUCGGUGUAGCUGCGUAAACCCCAAGACUUGGCUUCACCUUUAUAUUUAAAAGACGGAAUUAAGUCAUCGCCACCACCUGACGCGUGUAACCAAUCUGCUGAGAGCAGAACAAGCGCCCCUCCUCACCAUCCCCCAGAACUGGUCCGAAACAGGAUUGAACCGCUUCUAACAAAGGGUGGAAACUUAGAAAAACAAGCUUGGAGUCGCCUAUAUUUCCACAUUGUAGCCACUUAAACAACAGAUCGCAAAUCUUAGGACCUCUUGUCCCUUUGACAAUGCCUUAAUCUUCAUCUUGUACCCAAAAACCAAAUCCGAUGUGCCAUAUACUUUUCAAUUCCAUCUGUCUGCCAUGGGUUUCAUUGAAUCCACGUUCCAAAGUUAGACAUGAUGCUCCGAGAAGAAAAGUACUGACCCGGAAUGGCUUCUAAACUGACUUAAUAGUUUGCAUAAUGAUAGAUAUUAUCCUUUAAAAUAAAUGGUGCUUGAUGUACAUUUUAAAAGGAAUUGGGAGAAAUGGGAAAACACGUGGGGGUGUUGAUGCCAUAUGUCAAAAUAAGCCAGGGAAACCCUUUAUCAAAGAACAAUAAUCAAGUCUUUAAAGUCGUUUGCACGUUAAUAUCAAAAGCAGAUACAUCUAGCAACCUUCUUAAAAUGUCACUACAGUUCUUUAUUGGUGCUCCUUCCUGUAUCUAAGAUUGUAAAAUAAAAGGAGAAAUCCAACAUUGGACUGCAGUCUUUGCAAAUGAAUUUGAAAAUAUCAGUAAAACGACGGAGUCACAUUUGAACACGUUAUAAGGUGCGUAUGGCAGAUAUGAAGCCGGUUACAGAUGAAGUUAAGUGCAGUUUGCACUCACUUUGCAGACGCCUGCAUGGAUUACAGCUUAACACGCUUGGACGUCAAGGAGAAACUACAUCUUCUAAGUUUGCUACCUUCAUCAAACUGCCGACUAGAACUGCAUUAAAGGAGAUUAAAGUUCUCAUGCACAGAAGUAGAAUGUAGUGACUAAUAUAAAAACUUACCUCUUUCGUGCCCAAUUAAGAUGUCUUUAUGGUUGAAAUA